UGAAAUGUAAUCAGAAAGAAAAUGUGCGGGGAAAACGUGCUCGGUCACUUGCUUGAAAGUGGACGAACUCCGGUUUCUGCGAUCUGUCAAAUAAUUGGAGAAGAUGAAUUUUUGAUUGCCAGAGGAACACAAGUGUAUUAGGACAGUGAAAAGAGAAAAUUGAGUGGAGGAUUCCCAUUGAAACAUUCAACAUUGCAGCUGUUAUCUACUGGUUUUGAGUGAAAUGAGGUGACCUCAACUAAGAUGUUCUGCUCGAUAGUUGAUAUUUGAGGUUAAAAUGUGAUGAUCGAAGAAACUUGCCCUCAAGUUGAUGUAAUGUUAACAUAUGGGUUUUUGUAUAGUUCUGAUUUGGAUUCUUUGCUGACACGUUUUCCUUGGGAUUCACAACAACAUUGUUGGGGAUGAUCAAGAAAACUCAUCGUACCUUUGCUGAUUCAAUUCGAUACUUCGUAGAGCUAAAAAGGCUUGGGAAAAUCAGCAAAAUGCAGAACGGCCAUAUUGGAUUUCAUUUUCGCCAGUUGGGAGAAAAUCAGCUGCUGAUCUUUGCCAUGACGCUGUUACAACUACCCCUAAAUGGAAAUCUGCAAAGUUUUGCCGUCUGAAAUACGUCCCGGAUUUGGACGAAAUGGACACUGGGUGGAGCUGGUGACCUCUGUGUUUGAUUGCAGAGAAGCAGAUCGUCUGCUAAGAAUAAGGGAGCGUCAUACCCAGUUGGAUGCAUCCAAUUACUUGCUGAUGGUGAACGAAAGGAAUUGACAUACCGAGACUUGAAACUGCAUGCGCCGGUUGGACCCCAAUUUCGAACCAAUCACGUUCGCAAUGACAAUGGUUAGCAGUCAGAAAAAAACCCUAAAGAAUAAUGGACAGAAAAUAGUAAAACAAAAACAUACCUAGGAAAGUUAAUCUGAUCAACGAACUUCAAAACCCAAUGGCGAAGGCAAAGGAAUUCCGAUUGUUGCUCGUUAUACUAUACAGCGAAGGGUCGAGUUCUACGAGUACUAAAUCUUAAUUAUCGCCAUUACAGGGACAGAAGAAUGGACAAACAAAAAAGACAUGCGGGUAUGGCGUUUCCCGAAACUGGUUAAUGCCAAGCCUGGAAAACUGCUCGAGGUCAACGCCAGCUGUUCGACAAUGUGACGGGGGAGGGGGGGGGGAGUGAUUACAAAAUGGUUCACUUUGAUGUUUUUAUUAACACUCGAUAUCGAGCUACUGACUGGAAAUUUCAUUAAGGAUUGACGUGAAUUUGCGUUUUAUUGUUGUAAUUAUUUUUGAAAUAUAUUUUUCUUCGCUGUUAUUAUUGCAGGAGUUCACCGAUUUCCUUUGGUUCGCCAGUAAAGCAGCUGUUGCACCUGGAAUCUGGGAACGUUGAAGCGCUGAAGGCAUUGCCACCUUUAUCAGGCACUUGUAUCCGGAGGUUCUUGUUAUCCAAUUCACGAGUGGCGAGAAUCUGAUCCUCGUCAAAUCUGUGUCCCAACCUUUUAUACUGCGAGCCAAACAGCAAUAAACAUUCUGAGAAAUAGCCAUAGGAAAGUCCGAUGGGCGGUCAGCAGGUCAUAAGGCCAGGAGCCUCCACCAUUUAUGCUUCAUGUCUGCUGUGGGUUAGACCUGGCAUAAAGUUGGUUUCAAGAUCACUUUAAAUUGUUGGACAUUGUCUUUGCUGACUUGGAUAGAUCUGGAUAACAACAAACUGAAAGAGCACUGGUAGUAAACAUAAUCAGCCUGGAUUUUAUCAUUCAUGAUUGGAUUGAUUGCAAAAAAAAACUUUUGUGUGUAACUAAAACUUUUGUUUGUUUGUGUUUCUCUCGUUCUCUUUUUAAUAUACUUAAAUUUUUGCAUAAACACUCGUCGUUUCUUGGAAUUAUGUCCAGAUAUCCUAUAAUUUCCCUAUGGGAAUUCUUGUUUAGAUGAUUUAUCAUGGCUGCCAUAGGUAUCUGAUACAAUAGCUUCGUGACGGUCCCGCACUGUGCAGGAUUUCGCGUAGGUGCAAGCUGAUUUUGCGUGGCUGAGAUAUCAUCACAAGGCAACGUCACAUUUCAAAAAAAAAUCCUCAGUGACAUGGAGUGUGAAGAUUUCAAUUUUGUUGAAUGUUUAUUAGUGCCACUAGAUGGCUCUCUUAACCCUGUAAUGUAGGCACUAGGCAGUUGGCCCUGAGCUUUCUCAUAAAUACGUCAUUUUAUUCGUAACUUCACAUCAGACAGACCGCUUGCUUACAUGCUUGUUAAACUUCUUUGUUUUUUUCUGCUCAAUUCGAAAAACAAUGACAGUGGGAAGUAAGGAAAUGGUUUUUGUAAACAUGAUACUUGGAAAUACCAAGGCAAUGGAGGAUUUUGUGCAAAGGAAGGAAUAGGCACCAAGAUUUGAAACGGGAUUCAUGGUGAACCUUUCACUUACCACAUCUUGUUGUUCAGUCAGAUGCGUACCGUGAAAGUGAGAGCUAACAAGUUGUUGUGCUCUAACUGAUCAUAGUGUUGAUGCUGGAACAGAAGGUAACUGAAAUUCUCUAAGAGAGUGAAAAUAUAGCAUGCUUCAUAUAUAGCAUGGAAUCACUCGACUAAGUUGAGCCUCCUGUUUGUCGGUGUUGGUGGUCUUCAAUAACACUUGGUUUGAUUUCAAUACUCUCCUGAAAAUAAAGUGUUUUUAUUAGAAUAAUGAAUCACAUAUCUACACUCCCUUCUGUUCUGUGGCCCCAUUUUCCCUUUAUUUGAUUCUUUUUUUUUUCAUUCAGAGUUUGUGUACAGCUUUAGCCUAAUCUCCAUGAAUCAUUCUCAUACUUUCAUACUUUGUGGUCAACUUUUGUGGUCAACUUUUGCCAACUAAUCAGAGAUGUCAUGCACCUAUAUUGGCCUGAGUCACAAAUAGGAGACUGAAAGAGAUGCCGCACACCGUUAGUCGCUGAUUCAUCCCGAACAUAAAAUAUUUAUAUUUUAAUAAAUUAAAGUGCAUAUCUGGGCUCCCUUCUUUUCUGUGGCCCCGUUUCCCCUUGACUCGUAAUAAGCCCGUAGGGGGUCAUGCCCCUACUGUGAUCAGC
Daphnia magna is the source of this 3028-nucleotide long non-coding RNA. RefSeq lists it as uncharacterized. The record is from RefSeq and is a predicted model, not a curated record. NCBI's taxonomy places the organism in Eukaryota, Metazoa, Arthropoda, Branchiopoda, Diplostraca, Daphniidae. The transcript is spliced from 15 exons.